CGGCGAGUGAAGAGGGAAGAGCUCAAAUUUAAAAUCUGGCGGUCUACGGCCGUCCGAGUUGUAAUCUAGAGAGGUGUUUUCCGUGCCGGACCGUGUACAAGUCCCUUGGAACAGGGCGUCAUAGAGGGUGAGAAUCCCGUCCAUGACACGGACUCCCGGUGCUCUGCGAUACACCUUCGAAGAGUCGAGUUGUUUGGGAAUGCAGCUCAAAAUGGGUGGUAAAUUCCAUCUAAAGCUAAAUACAGGCGAGAGACCGAUAGCGAACAAGUACCGUGAGGGAAAGAUGAAAAGAACUUUGGAAAGAGAGUUAAACAGUACGUGAAAUUGUUGAAAGGGAAACGCUUGAAGUCAGUCGCGUCCGCAGGGACUCAGCCUUGCUUCUGCUUGGUGUAUUUCUCUGCGGAUGGGCCAGCAUCGAUUUUAGUCGCCGGAAAAGGGCGGGAGGAAUGUGGCAGCUUGCUGUGUUAUAGCCUCUCGUCGUACACGGUGACCGGGAUCGAGGUCUGCAGCACGCCUUUUGGUCGGGGUUCGCCCACGCCACGUGCUUAGGAUGCUGGCGUAAUGGCUUUAAACGACCCGUCUUGAAACACGGACCAAGGAGUCUAACAUGCCUGCGAGUGUUUGGGUGUAAAACCCAGGCGCGUAAUGAAAGUGAAAAGUUGGGACUCUUCAGUGAGGCACCGACGCCCGAUCCUGACGUUCUCUGACGGAUUUGAGGCAGAGCAUGUAUGUUGGGACCCGAAAGAUGGUGAACUAUGCCUGAAUAGGGCGAAGCCAGAGGAAACUCUGGUGGAGGCUCGUA
RNAcentral lists this ribosomal RNA (802 nucleotides) under Eichleriella flavida. Its description in RNAcentral is "eukaryotic LSU rRNA". It matches the Rfam family "Eukaryotic large subunit ribosomal RNA", at positions 87 to 879 of the family's 3401-position model. The record is from RNAcentral. Lineage: Eukaryota; Fungi; Basidiomycota; Agaricomycetes; Auriculariales; Exidiaceae.